This 258-nucleotide ribosomal RNA is filed under the name uncultured prokaryote. RNAcentral describes it as "partial 16S ribosomal RNA". It matches the Rfam family "Bacterial small subunit ribosomal RNA", at positions 524 to 780 of the family's 1533-position model. The record is from RNAcentral.
UACAGAGGGUGCGAGCGUUGUCCGGAAUUACUGGGCGUAAAGAGCUCGUAGGUGGUUUGUCGCGUCGUCUGUGAAAUUCCGGGGCUUAACUUCGGGCGUGCAGGCGAUACGGGCAAUACUUGAGUGCUGUAGGGGAGACUGGAAUUCCUGGUGUAGCGGUGGAAUGCGCAGAUAUCAGGAGGAACACCGAUGGCGAAGGCAGGUCUCUGGGCAGUAACUGACGCUGAGGAGCGAAAGCAUGGGUAGCGAACAGGAUUA